RNAcentral lists this ribosomal RNA (497 nucleotides) under uncultured bacterium. RNAcentral describes it as "partial 16S ribosomal RNA". It matches the Rfam family "Bacterial small subunit ribosomal RNA", at positions 28 to 507 of the family's 1533-position model. The record is from RNAcentral.
GAUGAACGCUGGCGGCGUGCCUAAUACAUGCAAGUCGAGCGAACAGACGAGGAGCUUGCUCCUCUGACGUUAGCGGCGGACGGGUGAGUAACACGUGGAUAACCUACCUAUAAGACUGGGAUAACUUCGGGAAACCGGAGCUAAUACCGGAUAAUAUAUUGAGCCGCAUGGUUCAAUAGUGAAAGACGGUUUUGCUGUCACUUAUAGAUGGAUCCGCGCCGCAUUAGCUAGUUGGUAAGGUAGCGGCUUACCAAGGCAACGAUGCGUAGCCGACCUGAGAGGGUGAUCGGCCACACUGGAACUGAGACACGGUCCAGACUCCUACGGGAGGCAGCAGUAGGGAAUCUUCCGCAAUGGGCGAAAGCCUGACGGAGCAACGCCGCGUGAGUGAUGAAGGUCUUCGGAUCGUAAAACUCUGUUAUUAGGGAAGAACAAAUGUGUAAGUAACUAUGCACGUCUUGACGGUACCUAAUCAGAAAGCCACGGCUAACUACGUG